RNAcentral lists this ribosomal RNA (299 nucleotides) under uncultured bacterium. RNAcentral describes it as "partial 16S ribosomal RNA". It matches the Rfam family "Bacterial small subunit ribosomal RNA", at positions 475 to 776 of the family's 1533-position model. The record is from RNAcentral.
CUAUGCGCCUUGCCAGCCCGCUCAGGUGUGCCAGCCGCCGCGGUAAUACGUAGGUGGCGAGCGUUAUCCGGAAUGAUUGGGCGUAAAGAGAACGCAGGCGGUCUUUUAAGUCUGAUGUGAAAGCCUUCGGCUUAACCGGAGUAGUGCAUCGGAAACCGGGCGACUUGAGUGCAGAAGAGGACAGUGGAACUCCAUGUGUAGCGGUGGAAUGCGUAGAUAUAUGGAAGAACACCAGUGGCGAAGGCGGCUGUCUGGUCUGCAACUGACGCUGAGGCUCGAAAGCAUGGGUAGCGAACAGG